This 425-nucleotide ribosomal RNA is filed under the name uncultured bacterium. Its description in RNAcentral is "partial 16S ribosomal RNA". It matches the Rfam family "Bacterial small subunit ribosomal RNA", at positions 354 to 796 of the family's 1533-position model. The record is from RNAcentral.
GUGGGGAAUAUUGGACAAUGGGCGCAAGCCUGAUCCAGCCAUGCCGCGUGAGUGAUGAAGGCCCUAGGGUUGUAAAGCUCUUUCAACGGUGAAGAUAAUGACGGUAACCGUAGAAGAAGCCCCGGCUAACUUCGUGCCAGCAGCCGCGGUAAUACGAAGGGGGCUAGCGUUGUUCGGAAUUACUGGGCGUAAAGCGCACGUAGGCGGAUCGUUAAGGCGGGGGUGAACUCCCGGGGCUCAACCCCGGAACUGCCUUCGAUACUGGCGAGCUAGAGUUCGAGAGAGGUGAGUGGAAUUCCGAGUGUAGAGGUGAAAUUCGUAGAUAUUCGGAGGAACACCAGUGGCGAAGGCGGCUCACUGGCUCGAUACUGACGCUGAGGUGCGAAAGCGUGGGGAGCAAACAGGAUUAGAUACCCCAGUAGUCC